This 253-nucleotide ribosomal RNA is filed under the name uncultured bacterium. Its description in RNAcentral is "partial 16S ribosomal RNA". It matches the Rfam family "Bacterial small subunit ribosomal RNA", at positions 524 to 776 of the family's 1533-position model. The record is from RNAcentral.
UACGGAGGGUGCAAGCGUUAUUCGGAGUUACUGGGCGUAAAGCGCACGUAGGUGGUUUGCUAAGCCAGCUGUGAAAUCCCCGGGCUCAACCUGGGCAUUGCAGUUGGAACUGGCAAGCUAGAGUAGGGUAGAGGGGUGUGGAAUUCCAGGUGUAGCGGUGAAAUGCGUAGAUAUCUGGAGGAACAUCAGUGGCGAAGGCGACACCCUGGACUCAUACUGACACUGAGAUGCGAAAGCGUGGGGAGCAAGCAGG